GUGGGGAAUAUUGGACAAUGGGCGAAAGCCUGAUCCAGCCAUGCCGCGUGUGUGAAGAAGGUCUUCGGAUUGUAAAGCACUUUAAGUUGGGAGGAAGGGCAGUAAGUUAAUACCUUGCUGUUUUGACGUUACCGACAGAAUAAGCACCGGCUAACUUCGUGCCAGCAGCCGCGGUAAUACGAAGGGUGCAAGCGUUAAUCGGAAUUACUGGGCGUAACGCGCGCGUAGGUGGUUUUGUAAGUUGGAGGUGAAAUCCCAGGGCUCAAACUGGGAACUGCCUCCAAAACUUCAUGACUAGAGUACGGUAGAGGGUAGUGGAAUUUCCUGUGUAGCGGUGAAAUGCGUAGAUAUAGGAAGGAACACCAGUGGCGAAGGCGACUACCUGGACUGAUACUGACACUGAGGUGCGAAAGCGUGGGGAGCAAACAGGAUUAGAAACCCGUGUAGUCC
This 450-nucleotide ribosomal RNA is filed under the name uncultured bacterium. RNAcentral describes it as "partial 16S ribosomal RNA". It matches the Rfam family "Bacterial small subunit ribosomal RNA", at positions 354 to 796 of the family's 1533-position model. The record is from RNAcentral.